This 437-nucleotide ribosomal RNA is filed under the name uncultured bacterium. RNAcentral's name for it is "bacterial SSU rRNA". It matches the Rfam family "Bacterial small subunit ribosomal RNA", at positions 954 to 1392 of the family's 1533-position model. The record is from RNAcentral.
GCUAAACGCGAAGAACCUUACCUGGGUUUGACAUGCACUAGACGCGUUCAGAGGUGGGCGUUCCUUUUUGGCUGGUGUGCAGGUGGUGCAUGGCUGUCGUCAGCUCGUGUCGUGAGAUGUUGGGUUAAGUCCCGCAACGAGCGCAACCCUCGUCCUAUGUUGCCAGCGGUUCGGCCGGGAACUCAUGGGAGACUGCCGGGGUCAACUCGGAGGAAGGUGGGGAUGACGUCAAGUCAUCAUGCCCCUUAUGUCCAGGGCUUCACGCAUGCUACAAUGGCUGGUACAAAGGGUUGCGAUAUCGUGAGGUGGAGCGAAUCCCGUAAAGCCAGUCUCAGUUCGGAUUGGGGUCUGCAACUCGACCCCAUGAAGUCGGAGUCGCUAGUAAUCGCAGAUCAGCAUUGCUGCGGUGAAUACGUUCCCGGGUCUUGUACACACCG